CCUACGGGUGGCUGCAGUGAGGAAUAUUGGUCAAUGGACGCAAGUCUGAACCAGCCAUGCCGCGUGCAGGAAGACGGCUCUAUGAGUUGUAAACUGCUUUUGUAUGAGGGUAAACGCAGAUACGCGUAUCUUCCUGAAAGUAUCGUACGAAUAAGGAUCGGCUAACUCCGUGCCAGCAGCCGCGGUAAUACGGAGGAUUCAAGCGUUAUCCGGAUUUAUUGGGUUUAAAGGGUGCGUAGGCGGUCGGAUAAGUUAGAUGUGAAAUCCCGAGGCUCAACUUCGGAAUUGCAGUUGAUACUGGUAGGCUAGAGAGUAGUUGCGGUAGGCGGAAUGUAUGGUGUAGCGGUGAAAUGCUUAGAGAUCAUACAGAACACCGAUUGCGAAGGCAGCUUACCGGGCUGCAUCUGACGUUGAGGCACGAAAGCGUGGGGAGCAAACAGGAUUAGAUACCCGAGUAGUC
RNAcentral lists this ribosomal RNA (460 nucleotides) under uncultured bacterium. Its description in RNAcentral is "partial 16S ribosomal RNA". It matches the Rfam family "Bacterial small subunit ribosomal RNA", at positions 338 to 795 of the family's 1533-position model. The record is from RNAcentral.